UACGUAGGGCGCGAGCGUUGUCCGGAUUUAUUGGGCGUAAAGAGCUCGUAGGCGGCUUGUUGAGUCAGCUGUGAAAACCCGCAGCUCAACUGCGGGCUUGCAGCUGAUACGGGCAGGCUUGAGUUCGGUAGGGGAGACUGGAAUUCCUGGUGUAGCGGUGAAAUGCGCAGAUAUCAGGAGGAACACCGGUGGCGAAGGCGGGUCUCUGGGCCGAUACUGACGCUGAGGAGCGAAAGCGUGGGGAGCGAACAGG
RNAcentral lists this ribosomal RNA (253 nucleotides) under uncultured bacterium. Its description in RNAcentral is "partial 16S ribosomal RNA". It matches the Rfam family "Bacterial small subunit ribosomal RNA", at positions 524 to 776 of the family's 1533-position model. The record is from RNAcentral.